GGAAGUGACAGGGCCAUAGCUGGCCGGCAGAGGGAGAGCCACCGCGCCCUUGAGACAAGGGGGGCAGCUGGGAGCUCCCGGACCAGAGAACAGGGGAAGAUGGGACCUCACUGAGGGACCCUCACCCAUGCAAAACUGGGGGCCGCCACCUCACCCCCUUGCUGGCAGCCGAUUCCGGCGGGCCUGAGACAAGGGGGGGCAGCUGGAAGCCCCCGGAGCAAGGGGGAAGAGAGGAUGGGACCUCUCAGAAGGGGGUCUCAUCCCUUAAACAAAAUUAUUUAAGCCCCAGUACUGUACCCUCUAUUCCCUGACCCCUUAGAACAC
Molecule: long non-coding RNA, 324 nt
Filed under: Phoenix dactylifera (date palm)
Lineage: Eukaryota; Viridiplantae; Streptophyta; Magnoliopsida; Arecales; Arecaceae
Description: long non-coding RNA (PDAC_LNC010744)
Source: RNAcentral